UGGGACCCAAGAGGGGUGAGGAAAAUUCUGAGCUCAGUCUUCACUCUCUCUUUGGUCCCCAG
Molecule: microRNA precursor, 62 nt
Filed under: Monodelphis domestica (gray short-tailed opossum)
Lineage: Eukaryota; Metazoa; Chordata; Mammalia; Didelphimorphia; Didelphidae
Description: microRNA mdo-mir-7361 precursor
Source: miRBase by way of RNAcentral